UGUCAAAGGUCAAUCCUUUUCCAACAAGAGCAAGUUUGGUCUUAACAUCGCCACUCUUAGGUUUAUACACAAGGUGAAUGAAGAAAGGAGGAUUAGCCGAGGCAUACUUGUUUGCGCAGCUCUUCAUGUUCCUGUGGACUCAUCCUGUAGUGGGGUCUGUUAGGCAACCCAGCGCCGGGAACUAGAUCAAUUUGGUGCUGAAUGUCUCUGAGCGGUGGCAACCCGAGAGGCAAUUCUUGAGGGAAAAUAUCCUCAAACUCGUCAAGCAAACGAGUGAUGCUAGGGUCGACCGAAGACUGUGUAGCUGCUACUGGAUCGACUGCCAAAAGGGCCACAGCGAAAUCUGCAGUCCGUAGCUCUUGCGCAAAUGCAGCCGCUGAACAGAACAAAACUGUAUUACUAGACCCAGUUCCUUCUGCCACACGAGGGUCUAUUGUACGAGGUUGAGACGUCUGAGGCUGCUCCGGUGGAAGUACUUCGUUUGUUAGUAACACGAUGCGACGGUUCUCAAAGAAAAAUGUAUAGACAUUGCUUCGUCCACUAUGUGAAACAUCUCUAUCGUAUUGCCAGGGUCUGCCCAACAAUAUGUGACUUACGUCCAUAGGAACAACAUCGCAGUAGAUUUUAUCCUUGUAGUGCGCUCCAAUAGAUAAUGACACAAGGACGCGAUGAGUCACCCUUAUCGCUGAUCCUUCUUUUAGCCAAACCAACUUGUAGGGUGUAGGGUGAUCCGAACGACGUAGUCCCAAUUUGUUCACUGCCUCCUCAGAAAUCACAUUACGACUGCUGCCUGAAUCAAUUACAUAACGGCAAAUCUUCCCUUUAACAGUGCAUGUUGAUGUGAAGAUAUUAGUACGCAACCAUGGUUGAUCGUUCUGCCUCAUUGGUGCAAGACAAAUACGACGCAGCAUCAGUAAAGUUCCUUGGUCACCUUCGUUGCAAUCAUCCAUAAUCUGGUCUAGCAAAUCUUCUUGCUGGUCCGUACCAUCCUCGUCCCACUUGACAUCCUCAACUAACAGUCCCCGACGAUUUGCGUUAGGACAAGCCGUCUGUCUGUGACCAUGUUCCCCACAUGUGAAACAACGCAACGCGUUUGGACGCGAAGAACGACGAAGUUCCUCUGUUGGCAACGGAGUUCGCGUCGUUACCGGGGGACGUUGCCCGUCAGCUGUUUCCUUGGUGCUCUGACCUUGCGUUGACGCGUCGACUGUAGUGUUUUGGGGUCGUUGUCGCGCAGAAUUCGACCAUCCUUGAGUUGUCGAUUUGAACUGAGACUCGAAUGCUACAGCUCGCCUGUGAGCUUCAGCCACCGUCAGAGGAUCAAACUGAGACAUUGCGUUCUGUAUCUGAGGUUUCAACCCUCCAAUGAAUCGCGACACCAAUUGGAUUUCACUAUCAAAGAUCUCAGUACGAGUCAGUAAUAAAGUGAAUUCCUCCGCAUAAUCAUCAACACUCCGAGAUCCUUGACGCAAGUUCUGGAGUCUGUUGUACAUCGUGCGGUCAAAGUUGUAUGGUAAGAACGCUUUGCGAAGCACCUUUUCCAGCUUACUCCAUGUGUUGAUGUUCGACUUACCCGCACGAGCUCGGGUUGCUUUGACUUGCAACCACCACGAGGCCGCCUUGCCUCUAAAUUUUGUUGCGACCAGUGCAACCUUCCUCUCCUCUGGAACUCUUUUAAAUUCCAAUACCUCCUGGACUGCAACUAGCCAAUCCAAUAGUUCUUCGCCCCGUACUCCACCAUGGAAUUCAGGAAUUUCCACCUUGAAACCUAUCUCCCAGCUUCUGUCCACAUGAUCACGAUUUGGCAGGUUCAUUCUUCGGUCUUGUCGAAGUUCGUCUUCGGCGAAGGGGUUGUCCUCCACGUCGGUUGACUCAUCGUCAAAGAGAACGCGCCUCCUAUCACGAUCGUGUUGUUGCUGGACUACAGCAUCUGUAAUCUCCCUUACAGCAUUCUGGAUUGUUGUUUGAAAGUUUACUUGCAUAUCACGGAGUGUGUUACGCAACUCCUCCCAAUCAUUCAAUGGUAACUCGUUUGCGUUGGCGCGCCGUGGAGCCAUUCUGUUAAGAAUCCCCAAAAAAAAAAGGUCGGAAACGUACUUGCUCUGAUACCAAAACUGGCGCAGCACAAGGGUUUAAAAACGAAGUUCGUUUAGUCUGAAGAAUACCCGAACGACGAGAAGCUCCGAGUUCGUUGAUUCAGAAUAGAAUGCCGAAAUCAAGAGAGAAUAUGAACUUGAAUAGUUCUUAUGAUUAAUGAAUAAAGCGUGAUGUUCUUCACGUUACAAGCUUGUAUAAAUAAUAAAACCAAAUCCCAACUACUACUAAGAUAAGGAUAACUCCAACUAAAGAUAACGACGAAAUCUAAAGAUAAUGAUAAAACCUAAUUAACUAAAUAAAACCAAAUGGAACGUUGAAUGUCGGUUCUCCCCACGUACGAAGAAUAGUGGCGCGAACCGUUGAACAGGUAAGGAUGCGCUGCAUCAAUAAGUGACACCAGUAGCAAGCUCUGUAGAACACGUUAGAGUGACCCCAGUAACGGCAAAGCACAUGUGACUAUAAAAACAAUUUAAUGAUUUAUUUUUAAAAUCUCAACUAGUUAAAAAUAAAAUAAGAAACGCUUAUCAUAAAAAGUUACGUAUAAUUAUCUACAGGUGAUUGUAUUUUUUUAUUUUAAAACUAUUGUAUUUAGAAAAUAAAUUAGUUUAUUAAGUUAGUUUUAGUUCAAUAAUUUUCUUAAAUAAUUACUCAUAAAUAAAAUUGAUUUAAAAUCAGUUACUAAUGUUUUUGUAAUCUACCAAAUUUUAAAAUUCUAAAAUUGUUUAAGUUGAUAGAUUUUAAUAUCUAUGCAGUAUGCAUUGAAUUUUGAAUUUAAUCGUUUAUUCAUAAGAUUUUAUAAGAAAUAAUUUGAAAUCAAUCGAAAAUACAAAAAACAAAAAUCUUUAAAAACUUGAAGAACACUAGAUUUUUAAAAAUGAAAUGAAAUCAUUCAUUGAAUAACACUAGGUUUUAAAAUAGAAUUUAUAAGCAUCAUUCGAAUAACAGUGGAUUGUGUUUAGAUUUAAACUUAAUUAAAAUGCAUAAUUGAAUAACACAACCUACAAUUUGUUAAAAAAAAGAAGCAAAUCUAAUAUUAUCAAGAUUUUAAAUAUUUCAAUUGUAAUUAUUUUCAAAAAAAAAGAAAGAUAAAUACUAUUAACUGAAACUAAAAGUAAUAAUAACAUUUAGUCAUAGAAACAAUUAACCAAUGUUUGAAAAACGGACCGAACAAAUGUUCGACAUUGUAAUUGGGUCAAUGGUCAGACCGGUUCAACCGGGUUUCAAAUUUUAAUUUAAUUUUAAAUUAAUUAAAUAUAUAUGUAUAAUUAUAAAAUUAUGUUUAUAAAAUUUUACCUCAUUACUAGAACCUAACUAAAAUUGAUACAUAAAUAAAAUGAAAACUUAAAAUAUAGUAUAAAAAUACAAUGAAAACUAAUUUAUUUAGAAAUAUAUAUUUUAAAAUAUGAUUUUUAAUGAACAUAAUCUAAAAGUUGCAAUUUUUAAUUUUCAACUUGAAUUUAAGAUAACCGCAUUUUAAUAUUGAACCGGGUUAAUGAUUUACCAGUUUUUUACCGGGUUUACCAGUUUAACUUCAAUCCGAUUUUUAGUACAACUCAUAAUCUAGGGAUGUCAAAUGGGUUUAAUGACCAUGGGUUAGCCAAGACCAAACCCAAAUGGUCUGACUAUAUUAGGCCUAAAAAUUAGAGUUGUCCAAUUGGACCGAAACUCAUUAACUCCAAAUUCGAUGGGCAAAAACCAUUUAGACAUGGGCGUCCAAUAAACUAAAAAAAUAUAGAGUUUUUAAGUUGAGAAAAAAAUAAAAUCAAUUUUUUUCUGUUAAAACUGCAAAACCGUAAAAUCACAUUUUUCCGCCAAACCGCAAAAUCACAUUUUCCCGUCAAAACCGCAAAAUCAUGUUUUCCCGCCAAAACUGCAAAAUCACGUUUUCCACCGAAACCAUAAAAUCACAUUUUUGUAAAUCGCAAAAUUGCGUUUUCUCGCUAAAACCGCAAAAUCAUGUUUUUCCACCAAAGCCGCAAAAUCAUGUUUUCGUCAAAUUUGCAAAAUUGUGUUUUCUUGCUAAAAUCGUAAAAUCACAUUUCUUACAUUGUAUAUGUAUUUUUAUAUAAAUUGAAUAAGAAAUUAUGUUUUUUAUAGAUUUAGUAUACUAAAGUAGAAAUUUUAUUUAGGCCCGCGAGCAAUCCAUUUAGAAUGGUCUAUUUGGAUUUGGACUAGGUACAAUUUAGGCUUACGAAAUAUAAUGUCUUAUAAACUGCUUUGUCAUUUAGACAUAUCUAUUAGACAUGAACAUUCCAAUUGACAUUUUUACCAGCAUCGGUUAAAAGAGCGAAUCACAGUCCAGUUUUUAGAACACUGCACUUAACUCAUUUCUCAAUGAUAUUAUAGAAAUCUUAAUUUAUUUUUUCAAGAACAGAAGAACCAAUGUUGAAGAUUCAGAAGUUUCAAACAGAUUUUUUGCACGACAUAAGCAAAAGACCCCUUUUAUUCAACACCUGAUAACGUAACUGUUCGGAACAAGUAGACCAAAUCCAAAACACGAUAACUUUUGACAACCUUAUUAAAACCAGUAACCACAACAUCCGAAACACUUUAUUUCAUCCUCUAUGAAGAAGAAUUAGUCUGCACCCAUUCCACAAGCGUAGCAACACCAAACCCAGUCCCAGAUUUCUUCUUUUCGUUCCACACUGGCCCAGCCAUGUCUAUAUGCAUCCAUUGUACUUUCUCGCUCACAAACUGAGAGAAACCAAGAUUUUAGCAGAUUGUUUUGUCAUUUUUUAACAUUAUUUAAGAUCAAAAACAUGUGCAGAUUGUUUUGUCAUUUUUCACAAUUAUUUUAUAUCAAUAACAUGCUAUAGUCUUUAAAAAAAGUAUUUGAUUUCACCUGUUUCAGGAAGAGAGCUGCGGUGAUGGAACCUCCUGCACGCCCGCCUGUGUUGACCAUAUCAGCACAUCCAGACUUCAUCAUCUCCCAAUAGCUCUCCUCUAAUGGCAUCCUCCACAGCUUCUCUCCACUCUUCUCUGAUGCAGCAAUCACUUCCUUUGCAAGCUCGUCGUUAGGUGUGUAGAUACCUGCCAAGUGAAAAGCACCGAACAAUUAACCAUCACGAGCCAGUAUUGAUCAAAGAAUCCCAGCACAAAAGUAAGACAAAGAUGAAUGGUUUCUUUAUGGCUAUUUAACUACAUACCUGCCACUGAUGUUCCCAAAGCAAUAACACAGGCUCCAGUCAACGUAGCGAGGUCAACAAUCUGCAAGUUUGUUGAAUUUUUAAUAGAAACAAGCCUCUAUAGGUUCUCUUAUCAAUAAACGAAGGAUAACCAACGCAAUACCUUGUCAACGCCUUGGUUACAAGCAUACACUAGAGCAUCAGCAAGUGUUAGACGACCUUCAGCAUCGGUGUUGUUCACCUGAAAACACCAUUGCCAACACUUAGCACCGCCAUACAAAGUAAAAGCUUGAACUUAAAACUAACAAAAAAUAUUCUCUGAUACCUCAAUGGUCUUUCCGUUUGAGGCCGUGAUGACAUCUCCAGGUCUCAUUCCAGUUCCACUAAUCAUAUUCUCACAGGCUGCAACGAUGAAAUGAACCUGUUUGUGGAAGAUCAAUUGGUUAGUUUCAAUAACAUACUCUAGUCUAGCUUCACAAGAACUUGAUGGGGGAAGAAGCUAACCUCAACACCAGGAGGCUUAAUCUCACCAAUGGCUUUAGCAGCACCAAGAACAGCAGCUGAACCACCCAUGUCGAAUUUCAUGAGCUCAAUGGAGCAGCCAGGUCCAGUCUUAAUGUUGUAGCCGCCACUAAGAACAAAAAACUUUCAAUCAACAACAACAAGAAACAAGAGACCAAUACAAAGCAGAUGUCAAAUCCUCACCUGUCAAAGGUCAAUCCUUUUCCAACAAGAGCAAGUUUGGUCUUAACAUCGCCACUCUUAGGUUUAUACACAAGGUGAAUGAAGAAAGGAGGAUUAGCCGAGGCAGCAGCAACCGCUAGAUAAGAUCCCAUCUUCAACUCCUUGCAUUGCUCCUCGUUCAAGAUGUUCGCUGUAAACACAUCACUGUACGUAGAAGCCACUUUUGCUGCUUCCUCAGCCAACA
This 6150-nucleotide long non-coding RNA is filed under the name Brassica napus (rape). Its description in RNAcentral is "long non-coding RNA (BNAP_LNC006557)". The record is from RNAcentral. Lineage: Eukaryota; Viridiplantae; Streptophyta; Magnoliopsida; Brassicales; Brassicaceae.